This 133-nucleotide small nucleolar RNA is filed under the name Xyrichtys novacula (pearly razorfish). It matches the Rfam family "Small nucleolar RNA SNORA17". From Rfam's summary of the family: snoRNA ACA 17 belongs to the H/ACA family of snoRNAs and is predicted to guide pseudouridylation of the 28S rRNA at positions U4659 and U4598. It shares the same host gene together with ACA43. NB This family has a high threshold value to exclude a large number of closely related sequences that do not appear to have conserved H and ACA boxes, and may be pseudogenes. Lineage: Eukaryota; Metazoa; Chordata; Actinopteri; Labriformes; Labridae. The record is from RNAcentral.
GAUGCCCCUUGAGGCGUUGCAGCUCAACCAUCAGUGUUGCAGCUGGGUCAUGAGGUGGCAGAGAGAGAAGAGUGGAGGUCUGCACUGAGACUCCAACACAUGGAGGACUCAGAGUCAUACUUCCACCAACAGU